RNAcentral lists this ribosomal RNA (253 nucleotides) under uncultured bacterium. RNAcentral describes it as "partial 16S ribosomal RNA". It matches the Rfam family "Bacterial small subunit ribosomal RNA", at positions 524 to 776 of the family's 1533-position model. The record is from RNAcentral.
UACGAAGGGGGCUAGCGUUGCUCGGAAUCACUGGGCGUAAAGGGUGCGUAGGCGGGUCUUUAAGUCAGGGGGGAAAUCCCGAGGCUCAACCUCGGAACUGCCUUUGAUACUGGGGAUCUCGAGUCCGGGAGAGGUGAGUGGAACUGCGAGUGUAGAGGUGAAAUUCGUAGAUAUUCGCAAGAACACCAGUGGCGAAGGCGGCUCACUGGCCCGGAACUGACGCUGAGGUGCGAAAGCGUGGGGAGCAAACAGG